This 464-nucleotide ribosomal RNA is filed under the name uncultured bacterium. RNAcentral's name for it is "partial 16S ribosomal RNA". It matches the Rfam family "Bacterial small subunit ribosomal RNA", at positions 28 to 506 of the family's 1533-position model. The record is from RNAcentral.
GACGAACGCUGGCGGCGUGCUUAACACAUGCAAGUCGAACGGAAAGGCCCUGCUUGCCGGGUACUCGAGUGGCGAACGGGUGAGUAACACGUGGGUGAUCUGCCCUGUACUUCGGGAUAAGCCUGGGAAACUGGGUCUAAUACCGGAUAGGAGCCAUUUUUAGUGUGAUGGUUGGAAAGUUUUUUCGGUGUAGGAUGAGCUCGCGGCCUAUCAGCUUGUUGGUGGGGUAAUGGCCUACCAAGGCGGCGACGGGUAGCCGGCCUGAGAGGGUGGACGGCCACAUUGGGACUGAGAUACGGCCCAGACUCCUACGGGAGGCAGCAGUGGGGAAUAUUGCACAAUGGGCGCAAGCCUGAUGCAGCGACGCCGCGUGGGGGAUGACGGCCUUCGGGUUGUAAACUCCUUUCGCUAGGGACGAAGCUUUUUGUGACGGGACCUAGAUAAGAAGCACCGGUGAACUACGU